AGAGUUUGAUCCUGGCUCAGGAUGAACGCUGGCGGCGUGCCUAAUACAUGCAAGUCGAACGCACAGCGAAAGGUGCUUGCACCUUUCAAGUGAGUGGCGAACGGGUGAGUAACACGUGGAUAACCUACCUCAAGGUUGGGGAUAACAUUUGGAAACAGAUGCUAAUACCGAAUAAAACUUCGUAUCGCAUGAUACGAGGUUAAAAGGCGCUACGGCGUCACCUAGAGAUGGAUCCGCGGUGCAUUAGUUAGUUGGUGGGGUAAAGGCCUACCAAGACAAUGAUGCAUAGCCGAGUUGAGAGACUGAUCGGCCACAUUGGGACUGAGACACGGCCCAAACUCCUACGGGAGGCUGCAGUAGGGAAUCUUCCACAAUGGGCGAAAGCCUGAUGGAGCAACGCCGCGUGUGUGAUGAAGGCUUUCGGGUCGUAAAGCACUGUUGUAUGGGAAGAACAGCUAGAGUAGGGAAUGACUUUAGUUUGACGGUACCAUACCAGAAAGGGACGGCUAAAUACGUGCCAGCAGCCGCGGUAAUACGUAUGUCCCGAGCGUUAUCCGGAUUUAUUGGGCGUAAAGCGAGCGCAGACGGUUGAUUAAGUCUGAUGUGAAAGCCCGGAGCUCAACUCCGGAAAGGCAUUGGAAACUGGUCAACUUGAGUGCAGUAGAGGUAAGUGGAACUCCAUGUGUAGCGGUGGAAUGCGUAGAUAUAUGGAAGAACACCAGCGGCGAAGGCGGCUUACUGGACUGUAACUGACGUUGAGGCUCGAAAGUGUGGGUAGCAAACAGGAUUAGAUACCCUGGUAGUCCACACCGUAAACGAUGAACACUAGGGUGUUAGGAGGUUUCCGCCUCUUAGUGCCGAAGCUAACGCAUUAAGUGUUCCGCCUGGGGAGUACGACCGCAAGGUUGAAACUCAAAGGAAUUGACGGGGACCCGCACAAGCGGUGGAGCAUGUGGUUUAAUUCGAAGCAACGCGAAGAACCUUACCAGGUCUUGACAUCCUUUGAAGCUUUUAGAGAUAGAAGUGUUCUCUUCGGAGACAAAGUGACAGGUGGUGCAUGGUCGUCGUCAGCUCGUGUCGUGAGAUGUUGGGUUAAGUCCCGCAACGAGCGCAACCCUUAUUGUUAGUUGCCAGCAUUCAGAUGGGCACUCUAGCGAGACUGCCGGUGACAAACCGGAGGAAGGCGGGGACGACGUCAGAUCAUCAUGCCCCUUAUGACCUGGGCUACACACGUGCUACAAUGGCGUAUACAACGAGUUGUCAACCUGUGAAGGUGAGCUAAUCUCUUAAAGUACGUCUCAGUUCGGACUGCAGUCUGCAACUCGACUGCACGAAGUCGGAAUCGCUAGUAAUCGCGGAUCAGCACGCCGCGGUGAAUACGUUCCCGGGUCUUGCACUCACCGCC
Molecule: ribosomal RNA, 1405 nt
Filed under: uncultured bacterium
Lineage: Bacteria
Description: bacterial SSU rRNA
Rfam family: Bacterial small subunit ribosomal RNA
Source: RNAcentral